UCGCUACCCCCACGGUCAGGGACUGGCCC
Molecule: small RNA, 29 nt
Filed under: Bombyx mori (domestic silkworm)
Lineage: Eukaryota; Metazoa; Arthropoda; Insecta; Lepidoptera; Bombycidae
Description: ovarian small RNA-28813
Source: RNAcentral